This is a long non-coding RNA of Helianthus annuus (common sunflower), 2331 nucleotides long. RefSeq lists it as uncharacterized. The transcript is spliced from 10 exons. The record is from RefSeq and is a predicted model, not a curated record. Lineage: Eukaryota; Viridiplantae; Streptophyta; Magnoliopsida; Asterales; Asteraceae.
AAAAUUAUGACUCCAGAUAUAUAAGAUACCAUCUUCUUCAAUCAAUUACUCUCUCUAAUCCAUUUCUCUCUUAACUCUCUCUCUCUCUCUCUCUAAAUGCAGAUCUGAGCCUUAACAAUCCAGAGUCAUCAGGGAUUCAAAUGCUCUAUACAAUCUGCCCUAAUUUCUUUCAUGGAUUCAAAUGCUCUGUACAAUCUGCCCUAAUUUCUUGAUCGUGAAGAUUGCAGGUGCAUCUGGGGUUGUGUUAACUUUUGCCUUGGGUCUCCUCGGAGUUUAUCUCACUUUGCCAGAUUCUGAUUACAGUUUUCGUAAGUUUCCCAGAACACUUGAAGAUCUUCAUAUUCUUAGUGGAAGCAAUUUCAUGUGCAGAACUUUAUGGGUUUCCUGAUGAAGCUGGGAUAUAAUGUGAUGGGAAAGUUACAGCUGAAAGUUACUUACUAAUUUAACAAGGCCACCACCGCAAAUAAUACUUCCGACGACAUCAAAACGGCGUCGAAGAAGAAUAUUAUUACAGUUUCCAUUCACUUCUCCAGCAGAGUUUCACUUCAACUCUGAUUUUCAUGGGUUCAAUCUUUAAGGUCUUCUCUUCACUGAAACUGAAGUAUCUACUCACUUUCUCUCUCUCAAAUCCAACCGUGUUUCCAUAGACCUCCACCACUGACGCCGCAGAGCCUCCGGCCGCCGCCAUGAAUUCCAACAAUAGGCUUUCGGUGAAGAAGAUAGAGGCUCCGAAGCAGAAGAAAGCGCCGGUGAAGAAAGCGAAGGAGGCGAAGGAUCCGAACAAACCAAAACGGCCUGCGAGUGCGUUCUUCGUGUUCAUUGAAUAGGGAAUUCGAUAUAACAGGAGAUGAGUUUUCAUACAAGGAGUGGACAUCCAGGAAGCCGUAUAAGGAAAGAAAAAAGGCAAUUAAAGAACGGGAAAAGGGCUCGAUGCAGUUGGAUCAAGACCCGGAACUGAUAUACUAUGGGCAACAUUGACUAAUGGCAUACCUCCAGAAGCGAAGCUGAUGUUAUUGGAAACGGUAUAUGAUUUAAGCUGCGAUCUGCACACCAGCGGAUUACAGUAACCGAUCGCUUGAUACGAUUCAUCAGCUACGUGUAAGAUAGGCUACCUUGCUGUUGGCUGUUGGUGCAAAGGGAAGCUGUUCAACUAUGCCCUCAAACGCGCUUUUUAAAGCCAAGGUAGUGCUAAAUUCUUCUGACAUAAUGCUCUUAAAAAUGGUUUGAUGUAUAAAGAUUACUACCAUCUAUUGUUUUUAGUUGUAAAACAAAAUAUGCUCAAGAUGAUUUUGGCAUACACUAACUGCUGUUCAUCAACCAUUGUAUACAUACAUGUUUGUUGUAUUUUGGUUAGUUUACAUGUUCACAGAUUUUGAUCGAGGGUCGGCGUUGCUCUGUAUUCUAUAGGUUGAUCCUUUUGCUUUGUUAUCAUUACAAAUUUCAAUCCUAAGCUUAAUGAUAAUAGUUGUUACUUGUAGUUUAAAACCGAUUUAGUUCGAUGUCGAAAGCGGUGCAAUGAAUCUGUUCGAUGUCAAAAACGAUGCAACGUCAUAAACAUUGGAGAAGUGGAUUUGGAAGCUGAGGUAAUAUUUUAUAAGGUUUGAAAACAGUGGUUGAAACCACUGUUGUAAUCAAAUUGGGCUUUGAGAAAACAGUGGUUGAAACCAGUGUUGGGUAAUAUUUUAUUAGGUUAAAACACUGUUAUUUUGAGAAGACGGUGGUUGAAACCACUGUUUGGUUAAAACUGUGGUUCGAAACUGCUGUUCGGCUAAAACAAUGGUUGAAACCACUGAAUCACAGUUUUAACCUAACAGUGGUUUCAAUUACUGUUUUCUCCACAAAACACUAUUUUAAUCCAAUAAAGAAUUACCCAACAGUGGUUUCAGUGGAUUUGGAUGUCGAUUUAGUUGUUACUUGUAGUUUAAAACCGAUUCCGUUCGAUGUCGAAAGCGGUGCAAUGAAUCUGUUCGAUGUCGAAAACGGUGCAAUGUCAUAAGCAUUGGAGAAGUGGAUUUGGAAGCUGAGAUUGGUAUUCUUAGAUGCUAAUAAGAAGGGGCAGAGGAGUGUCUCAUAAAACCAGUGCGAUUGUCGGUUGUUACCGAUUUGAAAUCCUAUUUGCCAAAGAACAAGAAGAAGACAACUGAUGAGACAGAACUUGUUCCAAGUUCCUAUUUUUUUUUCUUUUUAAAGGUUUUGUUUUUUUAAACCAUUUUGACCUGUUUAAUUAGGUUUAAAUAAGUUUUGAACAUUGAUCUUUUCUCUUUUUAUCUUUAAGAUUAUUGGUGAUCACUUUAGCAAAAAGCGAAACGAUUUAUGUUUAGGUUUUUGUAA